GACGAACGCUGGCGGCGUGCUUCAUACAUGCAAGUCGAACGAGAAGCUAGAGCUUGCUCUAGUGGAAAGUGGCGGACGGGUGAGUAAUAUGUAGGAAAUCUGCCCUAGAGAGGGGGACAACAGAAGGAAACUUCUGCUAAUACCCCAUAUGAGCUUGGUUGAAAUACCAAUCUUGAAAACUCCGGUGCUCUAGGAUGAGCCUGCACCUGAUUAGCUUGUUGGUGGUGUAAUGGACUACCAAGGCGACGAUCAGUAGCUGGUUUGAGAGGAUGAUCAGCCACAAUGGGACUGAGACACGGCCCAUACUCCUACGGGAGGCAGCAGUAGGGAAUCUUCCGCAAUGGACGAAAGUCUGACGGAGCAAACGCCGCGUGAGUGAUGACGGCCU
Molecule: ribosomal RNA, 388 nt
Filed under: uncultured bacterium
Lineage: Bacteria
Description: bacterial SSU rRNA
Rfam family: Bacterial small subunit ribosomal RNA
Source: RNAcentral